GGAGAGGUGGCUGAGUGGCCUAAAGCGUCCUCCUGCUAAGAGGAAACGGGUAGUUUACCCGUCACAGGUUCAAAUCCUGUUCUCUCCG
Molecule: transfer RNA, 88 nt
Filed under: Nostoc commune NIES-4072
Lineage: Bacteria; Bacillati; Cyanobacteriota; Cyanophyceae; Nostocales; Nostocaceae
Also listed under: 2 other names
Rfam family: tRNA
About the family: Transfer RNA (tRNA) molecules are approximately 80 nucleotides in length.
Source: Rfam by way of RNAcentral